UAAUUAAAAUUCAUUGUUGCACAAAUUAUCAUGUACAAAUACGUAUGAGUAGGAGUAUAUCUAAUAUCUUUGUAGAAUGAAAUGUACCAAUCAGCUCACCAGCAUGUUGAGGGGCUGGGCUAGGCACAUUUCAAUCCGUAGAUCCUAUAUAAACCCGCUUACUACUUUCCCGCCAUCUACAGAGAGCGAGAGAUUCACCCGCCAUUUUCAUUUCCAUUCCCAAUUCCAAAAACCAGACAUGUCUUCUUCUUCGGCCCCCUCCAAAACCCUAAUGGAUUUCUUCCAACCACCUUCCAAACGAAUCAAAACCACUCCCACUUCACUCUUAAUCCCCAACUCCAACGACGCCAAUGGCUCCUCCGCCUCACUCUCCGUUGACCAGAAAUCACGCGUCGAUUACAACAAGCACCUCGCAAAAUCCAAGCGCAACCUCAAAAUAUGCCUGGAUAAGGUCUCCAACUCCAAAGGUGUUGUGAAACUGGAGGAGCUGCUGGUGGAGGACACGUGGUUGGAAGCACUCUCUGGUGAGCUCCAGAAACCUUAUGCACUGAGCCUCUCAAAGUUUGUUGAAUCUGAGAUUUGCAAUAGCAACAUUGAUGCUGUGUAUCCUCCUUCUCACCUCAUCUUCAAUGCUCUUAACUCUACCCCUUUCGAUAGGGUUAAGGCCGUUAUCCUUGGACAGGACCCUUAUCAUGGACCUGGUCAAGCAAUGGGCCUUUCAUUCUCAGUCCCUGAGGGCGUGAAAGUUCCUUCCAGUUUGGUAAAUAUAUUUAAGGAGCUCAAAGAAGAUCUUGGUUGUUCAGUUCCACGUCAUGGAAAUCUAGAAAAAUGGGCUGUACAGGGUGUUCUCUUACUUAAUACCGUACUCACAGUCAGGAAACAUCAAGCAAACUCUCAUGCAAAAAAGGGAUGGGAACAAUUUACUGAUGCUGUUAUCAAAACAAUCUCACAGAAAAGGGAAGGUGUUGUCUUUCUGUUGUGGGGCAACUCUGCUCGGGAGAAAUCUAGGUUAAUUGAUGCAACAAAACAUCAUAUACUUCAAGCUGCACAUCCUUCUGGUUUGUCUGCAAAUAGAGGCUUCUUUGGGUGCAGGCACUUCUCUCGCACAAACCAGCUUCUGGAGAAAAGGGGCAUAGAUCCCAUAGAUUGGCAACUAUAAUAUGUAGUGUUUGAACUUUGAAGCCCAAAGCUUUGUUCCUUUUCAUCAAAACCUUUUUGAAGUUUGGUUCAAGUUCUUGGGUCUUGUGUAAAGAUGAUUCUGUUUAUUCAAAGUCGAUCAUGACAGAAGAUGCUUUUUGUCGAUACUUUGGUCCUGUAGUGUUGUCAGCUAGGAGAUUCUGCAGUCCCGACAUAUAUAGUAUUUUAUCUUAUUCAUGUUCUCCCAUACUAAAUGGAUGUCUUGUGUUAUACAUGUUAUGCUAAAAUAUCAACGAAUGAUAUAUUUUGGGGGGAGAUUCUUAAAAGGACAUGCAACACUUAUUUUCCUCUAUAUUUGUUAUCAAAGCUCGCAAAUAUCCAGAGUAUAUUGAGUGUUGAACUUGCAUAAUAUUGUGUGUAGAAUAAGUGAAAGGACUAGCAAGUAAUUACUUGGAAAGCUGAUGAUUAUGGUUCUGUUAAGCAACGGUUUGCAUAUAUGCUUCAGUAAGAUUAUUCAACUUUGGACAUCUAGGUAUUACCGAUCGUGAAAUAGUUAAGCGAAUAAAAGGGCAUUUCCUUUGAGAGAUACAAGUUCUUGUGCCAAUCAAAUAUAUCAUGUAUGCUCCCAAAGGAAGAAUUAUACAAAAUUUUCU
RNA transcript from Arachis stenosperma, 1790 nucleotides. It is a transcript of the gene named uracil-DNA glycosylase, mitochondrial, with no coding region annotated. NCBI's taxonomy places the organism in Eukaryota, Viridiplantae, Streptophyta, Magnoliopsida, Fabales, Fabaceae. The record is from RefSeq and is a predicted model, not a curated record. The transcript is spliced from 8 exons.